Molecule: ribosomal RNA, 647 nt
Filed under: uncultured Acidobacteriota bacterium
Lineage: Bacteria; Pseudomonadati; Acidobacteriota
Description: SSU rRNA
Rfam family: Bacterial small subunit ribosomal RNA
Source: RNAcentral
CACUAGUUGGCGGGGUAAUGGCCCACCAAGGCGAAGAUCGGUAGCCGGCCUGAGAGGGCGCACGGCCACACUGGAACUGAAACACGGUCCAGACUCCUACGGGAGGCAGCAGUGGGGAAUUUUGCGCAAUGGGGGAAACCCUGACGCAGCAACGCCGCGUGGAGGAUGAAGCCCCUUGGGGUGUAAACUCCUUUCGACCAAGACGAUAAUGACGGUACUGGUGGAAGAAGCACCGGCUAACUCUGUGCCAGCAGCCGCGGUAAUACGUAGGCAGCAAGCGUUGUUCGGAGUUACUGGGCGUAAAGGGUGUGUAGGCGGUUCUCUAAGUCUGGUGUGAAAUCUCCCGGCUCAACUGGGAGGGUGCGCCGAAAACUGGAGGGCUAGAGUGCGGGAUGGGAGAGUGGAAUUCCUGGUGUAGCGGUGAAAUGCGUAGAUAUCGGGAGGAACACCCGUGGCGAAAGCGGCGCACUGGACCAUAACUGACGCUGAUGCACGAAAGCUAGGGGGGCAAACAGGAUUAGAUACCCUGGUAGUCCUAGCCCUAAACGAUGAUUGCUUGGUGUAGCAGGUACCCAAUCCUGCUGUGCCGCAGCUAACGCGAUAAGCAAUCCGCCUGGGGAGUACGGUCGCAAGGCUGAAACUCAAAG